This 468-nucleotide ribosomal RNA is filed under the name uncultured bacterium. RNAcentral describes it as "partial 16S ribosomal RNA". It matches the Rfam family "Bacterial small subunit ribosomal RNA", at positions 28 to 507 of the family's 1533-position model. The record is from RNAcentral.
GACGAACGCUGGCGGCGUGCUUAACACAUGCAAGUCGAACGGAAAGGCCCUGCUUUUGUGGGGUGCUCGAUUGGCGAACGGGUGAGUAACACGUGAGUAACCUGCCCUUGACUUUGGGAUAACUUCAGGAAACUGGGGCUAAUACCGGAUAGGAGCUCCUGCUGCAUGGUGGGGGUUGGAAAGUUUCGGCUGUUGGGGAUGGACUCGCGGCUUAUCAGCUUGUUGGUGGGGUAGUGGCUUACCAAGGCUUUGACGGGUAGCCGGCCUGAGAGGGUGACCGGCCACAUUGGGACUGAGAUACGGCCCAGACUCCUACGGGAGGCAGCAGUGGGGAAUAUUGCACAAUGGGCGGAAGCCUGAUGCAGAAACGCCGCGUGCGGGAUGACGGCCUUCGGGUUGUAAACCGCUUUCGAAUGUGACGAAGCGUGAGUGACGGUAAUGGGUAAAGAAGCAACGGCUAACUACGUG